UCGAGGGGCAGCAUGAACUUAGCUUGCUAAGUUUGAUGGCGACCGGCGCACGGGUGAGUAACACGUAUCCAACCUGCCGAUGACUCGGGGAUAGCCUUUCGAAAGAAAGAUUAAUACCCGAUGGCAUAGUUCUUCCGCAUGGUGGAACUAUUAAAGAAUUUCGGUUGUCGAUGGGGAUGCGUUCCAUUAGGCAGUAGGCGGGGUAACGGCCCACCUAGUCUUCGAUGGAUAGGGGUUCUGAGAGGAAGGUCCCCACAUUGGAACUGAGACACGGUCCAAACUCC
This 284-nucleotide ribosomal RNA is filed under the name uncultured Bacteroides sp. RNAcentral describes it as "partial 16S ribosomal RNA". It matches the Rfam family "Bacterial small subunit ribosomal RNA", at positions 62 to 339 of the family's 1533-position model. The record is from RNAcentral. Lineage: Bacteria; Pseudomonadati; Bacteroidota; Bacteroidia; Bacteroidales; Bacteroidaceae.